Molecule: long non-coding RNA, 1698 nt
Organism: Phasianus colchicus (ring-necked pheasant)
Lineage: Eukaryota; Metazoa; Chordata; Aves; Galliformes; Phasianidae
Source: Ensembl
CAUUUUGAAGGCCGACAUCGAUUUGAAAGCAGCAGAAAUAAUGGAAUAUUGCAGCACGCAACGCGGAUUUUCUACCCAAAACAAUCACGUGCCGGCGAUAUUAUCUGUCUGUUCCAUGGCUUUCCAUGCCGUUACGGUGCAUCUCCCACGGGGGAGGAGGGAGGGAGGGAGGGAAUAAGGAGGGUGGGGGGGUGGCUGCCCGAUCAUAGCCGCAGGUCAAGCCGACGCCAACCGGCCAGCAAAACACAGCAGCAUGGGAGAGAUGGGGAAGGAGGAAGCGGCGGCACUAUUGCUCAGCAAAUACAACUCGCAGCCCACGCGGCAGAUAACCGCGUUGCGGGAUCACAGGGCUGCGACACGGCUCGGACCAAACCCCCCUCCCCCCUUAAACCCACCCCACCUCCUCCUCCUCCCCGCCACCACCUACUUCCCUGCAAUGACCCCCGCGCCGCUUCGGCGCCGGCGGCGUCCCCGCAGCCCCGUGUUGUGUCUGCGGCCGUGCCCCAUGUGACAGCCGGGCACGGGCACACAGGUGCGGCCGGCGCCGUGCCACAGGAGCGGGCACACCCCGACACAACUUGCAACCCGCGCGCGCUCCCGGGGGGCUCCGCGCCCCCUCCCCCCGCACAACGCCCGCCUACCCGCGCGCGCCGGGCCCCCGCCGGCGGUUACAUAACCCCCCCCUCCCCCUUUCCUCUUCCUCCUCCUCCUCCUCUUCCCGCCGUUGAGGAGCGGGGUCGGGCCCAGGCCGCGGGCCCCGCCGCGCCGGGCCGCCAACACGCAGCGCCGCGAGGGGAAAGGGAGGCGGCCGCCGCCGCUCUGCUCACCUUCCGCCGCUGUGUCCCAGACGAGCAUUCCCGUGCGCCGCCGCCUACCGCCUGCCCCGCCGGGGCUUCACAUCGCGGUUCCCCCCGGCACGGGCGCAAGCAGCCGCCACCUCCCCGCCUCGCUCAGCCCGGCCGCGCUCUCCCCCGCUCUCCCUUCCUUCCUUCCUUCUUUCCCCCUCCUCCCCCUCUCGGUGUCCCCGGCAGCGGCCCCUCCUCCCCCCCCGCCCUUCCUGCGAGCGCGUCACGAGAGAGUCUCGCGCCACCAACCGCCGCUCGGUCAACAAGCGGCGCGCGCCGGGCGGGCCGGCUCGCCCCCACCCCGCCCAACCCGCGGACGAGGCGCCCCCUGCCGGCCGGCACCCGGCGUAACGCCACCGCCGAGAAAGGCGCGGGAGCGCCGGCAGCCGAACACGUGACGGCGGGGCGGGGCGGGGCGCGCCGCUCCCGCGCCUCUCCGCCUCCCUCCGCACGGACGGACCGCGGGUGCCGCGGGGUUGCGGCGCCCCCUCGCGGUGCUCUGCGGAGAGGACGGGAGGGCAGCCCGCGGUGCGGCCCCGCGCCGUGGCGCAGCCGGGAGGGGCGUGGGUUGGGCCGAGCCGGCGGCGUUCCGCCAAACCGGCCUCUGCCGGCGCUCGUGGGGAUCCGGGCUCAGGCCUGCUUCUGCUGCGUCCUCGUGGCAGAAGUCACAGAAUCACUUAGGUCGGAGCGGCCCCAAGGUCAUCGAGUUCGGCCGUUAAUCCAGCGCAGCCGAGUCUACCGCUACGCCGUGUCCCUAAGCACCACAGCUACGUGUCUUUUAAAUAGCUCCAGGGUCACGGUUCCGCCACUUCCCUGGACAGCCCAUCCCAAUGCUUCACCACCCUCUGUGUAA